RNAcentral lists this ribosomal RNA (253 nucleotides) under uncultured bacterium. RNAcentral's name for it is "partial 16S ribosomal RNA". It matches the Rfam family "Bacterial small subunit ribosomal RNA", at positions 524 to 776 of the family's 1533-position model. The record is from RNAcentral.
UACGUAGGGUGCGAGCGUUAAUCGGAAUUACUGGGCGUAAAGGGCGCGUAGGCGGCACAGCAAGUCGGGAGUGAAAGCCCGGGGCUCAACCCCGGAACUGCUUUCGAAACUGCUGAGCUAGAGUACAGAAGGGGCAACCGGAAUUCCCUGUGUAGCGGUGAAAUGCGUAGAGAUGGGGGAGAACACUCGUGGCGAAGGCGGCCAGCUAGACCAGUUCUGACACUGAGGCGCGACAGCGUGGGGAGCAAACAGG